Gossypium hirsutum (cotton) is the source of this 107-nucleotide non-coding RNA. The record is from Rfam. NCBI's taxonomy places the organism in Eukaryota, Viridiplantae, Streptophyta, Magnoliopsida, Malvales, Malvaceae.
AUACCAUGGUGAGGGUAUUUUUGUAAUAAUUUCUUGCAUAACUCCCAAGCCUCAUACAAUGAUUCAUCAUCAAGUUGUUGGAAUGUGGUGAUUUCAUUCCGAAGUUU